CAAAAGGCUGUCAACAGCCACCAACAAUAAAAGUUAUAUUUUAU
Molecule: non-coding RNA, 44 nt
Organism: Rattus norvegicus (Norway rat)
Lineage: Eukaryota; Metazoa; Chordata; Mammalia; Rodentia; Muridae
Source: Rfam